This 253-nucleotide ribosomal RNA is filed under the name uncultured bacterium. RNAcentral describes it as "partial 16S ribosomal RNA". It matches the Rfam family "Bacterial small subunit ribosomal RNA", at positions 524 to 776 of the family's 1533-position model. The record is from RNAcentral.
UACGUAGGGUGCAGGCGUUAAUCGGAAUUACUGGGCGUAAAGCGUGCGCAGGCGGUUUCUUAAGUCAGAUGUGAAAGCCCCGGGCUUAACCUGGGAACUGCGUUUGAAACUGGGAGACUUGAGUGUGGCAGAGGGGGGUGGAAUUCCACGUGUAGCAGUGAAAUGCGUAGAUAUGUGGAGGAACACCGAUGGCGAAGGCAGCCCCCUGGGUUAACACUGACGCUCAUGCGCGAAAGCGUGGGGAGCAAACAGG